RNAcentral lists this non-coding RNA (111 nucleotides) under Aurantiochytrium limacinum. Lineage: Eukaryota; Bigyra; Thraustochytrida; Thraustochytriidae. The record is from RNAcentral.
CAAAGAAAGGGGAAAACCAAAGAGAAUGACUGUCACGCCACCGCCAAAGGUGGCGGAUAGAGAGAUAGAGAGAGAGAGAUACGUACAUACGUACGUACGUAGGCCUUCGAA